ACGGAGGGUGCAAGCGUUGUCCGGAUUUAUUGGGCUUAAAGGGUGCGUAGGUGGUUUCUUAAGUCUGGUUUGAAAGUUGGUCGCUUAACGAUCAAGGGUGGCUGGAUACUGGGAGACUUGAAUAUUGUGGAGGUAGCCGGAAUGGGUUGUGUAGCGGUGAAAUGCAUAGAGAUGACCCGGAACACCAAUUGCGAAGGCAGGCUACUACGCAAUGAUUGACACUGAGGCACGAAAGCAUGGGGAGCAAACAGGAUUAGAUACCCUGGUAGUCCAUGCCGUAAACGAUGAUUACUGGCUGUUAUGCUUUCGGGUGUAGUGGCUAAGGGAAACCGCUAAGUAAUCCACCUGGGGAGUACGCUGGCAACAGUG
This 369-nucleotide ribosomal RNA is filed under the name uncultured bacterium. RNAcentral's name for it is "bacterial SSU rRNA". It matches the Rfam family "Bacterial small subunit ribosomal RNA", at positions 525 to 896 of the family's 1533-position model. The record is from RNAcentral.